This 372-nucleotide ribosomal RNA is filed under the name uncultured organism. RNAcentral describes it as "bacterial SSU rRNA". It matches the Rfam family "Bacterial small subunit ribosomal RNA", at positions 526 to 896 of the family's 1533-position model. The record is from RNAcentral.
CAGAGGGUGCAAGCGUUGUUCGGAAUUAUUGGGCGUAAAGGGCGCGUAGGCGGUGCGGUAAGUCUUUUGUGAAAUCUCCGGGCUCAACUCGGAGUCUGCAGGAGAAACUGCCGUGCUUGAGUGUGGGAGAGGUGAGUGGAAUUCCCGGUGUAGCGGUGGAAUGCGUAGAUAUCGGGAGGAACACCCGUGGCGAAAGCGGCUCACUGGACCACAACUGACGCUGAGGCGCGAAAGCUAGGGGAGCAAACAGGAUUAGAUACCCUGGUAGUCCUAGCCCUAAACGAUGAUUGCUUGGUGUGGCAGGUACCCAAUCCUGCUGUGCCGAAGCUAACGCGAUAAGCAAUCCGCCUGGGGAGUACGGUCGCAAGGCUG